This 667-nucleotide ribosomal RNA is filed under the name uncultured ciliate. Its description in RNAcentral is "SSU rRNA". It matches the Rfam family "Eukaryotic small subunit ribosomal RNA", at positions 326 to 1012 of the family's 1831-position model. The record is from RNAcentral. Lineage: Eukaryota; Ciliophora.
UGGUAGUGUAUUGGACAACCAUGGCAGUCACGGGUAACGGAGAAUUAGGGUUCGAUUCCGGAGAGGGAGCCUGAGAAACGGCUACCACAUCUAAGGAAGGCAGCAGGCGCGUAAAUUACCCAAUCCCGAUUCGGGGAGGUAGUGACAAGAAAUAGCAACUCGUGCGGGUUUCCGUUACGGGAUUGCAAUGAGAUAAGUCCAAAUCCGUAAACGAUUAACAAUUGGAGGGCAAGUCUGGUGCCAGCAGCCGCGGUAAUUCCAGCUCCAAUAGCGUAUACUUAAGUUGUUGCAGUUAAAAAGCUCGUAGUUGAAAUUCGAGUCAGUUGCUAGUUGGCUUUUCGUCAGUUAGUUAAUUGAUUCUCCGUCUACAAUCCCUUUUGCGCUUUAGGGUUGCAGCUGGGCGAGUAGACAAUUUACCUUGAAAAAAUUAGAGUGUUCCAGGCAGGUCUUCGCCGGAAUACAUUAGCAUGGAAUAAUGGAAUAGGACUUGGGUCUUUUGUUGGUUUUAGGACUUGAGUAAUGAUUAAUAGGGACAGAUGGGGGCAUUAGUAUUUAAUUGUCAGAGGUGAAAUUCUUGGAUUUAUUAAAGACUAACUUAUGCGAAAGCAUUUGCCAAGGAUGUUUUCAUUAAUCAAGAACGAAAGUUAGGGGAUCAAAGACGAUUAGA